This 301-nucleotide ribosomal RNA is filed under the name uncultured bacterium. Its description in RNAcentral is "partial 16S ribosomal RNA". It matches the Rfam family "Bacterial small subunit ribosomal RNA", at positions 509 to 807 of the family's 1533-position model. The record is from RNAcentral.
CAGCAGCCGCGGGAAUACGAAGGGGGCUAGCGUUGUUCGGAUUUACUGGGCGUAAAGCGCACGUAGGCGGAUCGAUCAGUCAGGGGUGAAAUCCCAGAGCUCAACUCUGGAACUGCCUUUGAUACUGUCGAUCUGGAGUAUGGAAGAGGUGAGUGGAAUUCCGAGUGUAGAGGUGAAAUUCGUAGAUAUUCGGAAGAACACCAGUGGCGAAGGCGGCUCACUGGCUCAUACUGGACGCUGAGGUGCGAAAGCGUGGGGAGCAAACAGGAUUAGAUACCCCCGUAGUCCCUGUCUCUUAUAC